RNAcentral lists this ribosomal RNA (465 nucleotides) under uncultured Klebsiella sp. RNAcentral describes it as "bacterial SSU rRNA". It matches the Rfam family "Bacterial small subunit ribosomal RNA", at positions 338 to 795 of the family's 1533-position model. The record is from RNAcentral. Lineage: Bacteria; Pseudomonadati; Pseudomonadota; Gammaproteobacteria; Enterobacterales; Enterobacteriaceae.
CCUACGGGGGGCUGCAGUGGGGAAUAUUGCACAAUGGGCGCAAGCCUGAUGCAGCCAUGCCGCGUGUGUGAAGAAGGCCUUCGGGUUGUAAAGCACUUUCAGCGGGGAGGAAGGCGUUAAGGUUAAUAACCUUGUCGAUUGACGUUACCCGCAGAAGAAGCACCGGCUAACUCCGUGCCAGCAGCCGCGGUAAUACGGAGGGUGCAAGCGUUAAUCGGAAUUACUGGGCGUAAAGCGCACGCAGGCGGUCUGUCAAGUCGGAUGUGAAAGCCCCGGGCUCAACCUGGGAACUGCAUUCGAAACUGGCGGGCUAGAGUCUUGUAGAGGGGGGUAGAAUUCCAGGUGUAGCGGUGAAAUGCGUAGAGAUCUGGAGGAAUACCGGUGGCGAAGGCGGCCCCCUGGACAAAGACUGACGCUCAGGUGCGAAAGCGUGGGGAGCAAACAGGAUUAGAUACCCCGGUAGUC